AGAGCAUAUUGAACAGUGGUGUACUGAGGAUAAAGCUCCCCAGGAAGAUGGGUCUCAGAGAUCAUGGCAUAAUGAGGAGGGAAAUGGCAUCGUUGGUAGCAAAAAGGGCAGAUCCAAAUCUUAGCGGUAAAGUCCACACGGGAAAAUGGGUUGAGAACGGCGGAGCAAGACUUGCAACGGAGCGGUGCAUAAGGAAGAGUAGGGAUCUCAGGAUGAUGACGGAUCGGAGCGAUCGAAGCAGCGAGUGGAACAACGCACUUGCUGGCUUCAACCUUGGU
This 278-nucleotide unclassified non-coding RNA is filed under the name Hevea brasiliensis (rubber tree). The record is from RNAcentral. Lineage: Eukaryota; Viridiplantae; Streptophyta; Magnoliopsida; Malpighiales; Euphorbiaceae.